RNAcentral lists this ribosomal RNA (203 nucleotides) under Vibrio cholerae. RNAcentral's name for it is "partial 23S ribosomal RNA". It matches the Rfam family "Bacterial large subunit ribosomal RNA", at positions 1449 to 1652 of the family's 2925-position model. The record is from RNAcentral. Lineage: Bacteria; Pseudomonadati; Pseudomonadota; Gammaproteobacteria; Vibrionales; Vibrionaceae.
GACUAUUGCGAUGGGGGGACGGAGAAGGCUAGGUGGGCCAGGCGACGGUUGUCCUGGUUCAAGUGCGUAGGCUUGAGAGUUAGGUAAAUCCGGCUCUCUCUAAGGCUGAGACACGACGUCGAGCUACUACGGUAGUGAAGUCAUUGAUGCCAUGCUUCCAGGAAAAGCCUCUAAGCUUCAGAUAGUCAGGAAUCGUACCCCAA